GACGAACGCUGGCGGCGUGCUUAACACAUGCAAGUCGAACGGAAAGGCCCUGCUUUUGUGGGGUGCUCGAGUGGCGAACGGGUGAGUAACACGUGAGUAACCUGCCCUUGACUUUGGGAUAACUUCAGGAAACUGGGGCUAAUACCGGAUAGGAGCUCCUGCUGCAUGGUGGGGGUUGGAAAGUUUCGGCGGUUGGGGGUGGACUCGCGGCUUAUCAGCUUGUUGGUGGGGUAGUGGCUUACCAAGGCUUUGACGGGUAGCCGGCCUGAGAGGGUGACCGGCCACAUUGGGACUGAGAUACGGCCCAGACUCCUACGGGAGGCAGCAGUGGGGAAUAUUGCACAAUGGGCAGAAGCCUGAUGCAGCAACGCCGCGUGCGGGAUGACGGCCUUCGGGUUGUAAACCGCUUUCGCCUGUGACGAAGCGUGAGUGACGGUAAUGGGUAAAGAAGCACCGGCUAACUACGUG
This 468-nucleotide ribosomal RNA is filed under the name uncultured bacterium. RNAcentral describes it as "partial 16S ribosomal RNA". It matches the Rfam family "Bacterial small subunit ribosomal RNA", at positions 28 to 507 of the family's 1533-position model. The record is from RNAcentral.